GAAGAAGUUUGGCAUAGGAUCAGGUUGUCAGGUCAACAGGCAUUUGUUAAGCUCCUUCAAUGUGUUAAGUGCUGGGAAUGAACAGAAAAGAAGAGGAGAAGUGAAGAGAGGGGAAGGGAAGGGGAAGGAGAAAAGGUACAGGAAAGGAGGAGAGGGAUGGAGAGAGGAGGGGAGGGGAGAGGAGAGAAGAGAAGAAAAGAUAAUUUUGGAAUGGAAAGGAGGCAUUGCCUACAUACAUCCAACAAGCAAGAGACUACAGAGAGUUGCUACUAUGCAAACAGAAGAAUUUCAGGCAAGAAUUAAUAUGUGUCAAAAUCCAAGAGUAGUAAUUAAUAAAAUCCAAAUAUCUAUUUGUGUAAGGAGUAUAAAUGCUUAA
RNAcentral lists this long non-coding RNA (376 nucleotides) under Monodelphis domestica (gray short-tailed opossum). RNAcentral describes it as "lncRNA (ENSMODG00000046272.1)". The record is from RNAcentral. Lineage: Eukaryota; Metazoa; Chordata; Mammalia; Didelphimorphia; Didelphidae.